ACUGCUCAGUAACACGUAGUCAACAUGCCCAGGGGACGUGGAUAACCUCGGGAAACUGAGGAUAAACCGCGAUAAGUCACUACUUCUGGAAUGGGUAAUGACUAAAAUCUACAUGGCCCCUGGAUUGGACUGCGGCCGAUCAGGCUGUUGGUGAGGUAAUGGCCCACCAAACCUGUAACCGGUACGGGCUCUGAGAGGGGGAGCCCGGAGAUGGGCACUGAGACAAGGGCCCAGGCCCUAUGGGGCGCAGCAGGCGCGAAACCUCUGCAAUAGGCGAAAGCCUGACAGGGUUACUCUGAGUGAUUUCCGUUAAGGAGAUCUUUUGGCACCUCUAAAAAUGGUGCAGAAUAAGGGGUGGGCAAGUCUGGUGUCAGCCGCCGCGGUAAUACCAGCACCCCGAGUGGUCGGGACGUUUAUUGGGCCUAAAGCAUCCGUAGCCGGUUCUACAAGUCUUCCGUUAAAUCCACCUGCUUAACAGGUGGGCUGCGGAAGAUACUAUAGAGCUAGGAGGCGGGAGAGGCAAGCGGUACUCGAUGGGUGGGGGUAAAAUCCGUUGAUCCAUUGAAGACCACCAGUGGCGAAGGCGGCUUGCCAGAACGCGCUCGACGGUGAGGGAUGAAAGCUGGGGGAGCAAACCGGAUUAGAUACCCGGGUAGUCCCAGCUGUAAACGAUGCAGACUCGGUGAUGGGUUGGCUUCUUGCCAACUCAGUGCCGCAGGGAAGCCGUUAAGUUUGCCGCCUGGGGAGUACGGUCGCAAGACUGAAACUUAAAGGAAUUGGCGGGGGAGCAC
This 791-nucleotide ribosomal RNA is filed under the name uncultured archaeon. RNAcentral's name for it is "bacterial SSU rRNA". It matches the Rfam family "Archaeal small subunit ribosomal RNA", at positions 85 to 879 of the family's 1478-position model. The record is from RNAcentral.